Long non-coding RNA from Drosophila sulfurigaster albostrigata, 2107 nucleotides. RefSeq lists it as uncharacterized. The transcript is spliced from 2 exons. Lineage: Eukaryota; Metazoa; Arthropoda; Insecta; Diptera; Drosophilidae. The record is from RefSeq and is a predicted model, not a curated record.
UUGGCAAUGUUCGCAUCAGAUACUAAACAAAUGACCAAAACAAUAUUGCAAUUUUAUGGCUCAUAUUCUAGAGAAUAAACUGCUUUACGUGGGUGCAUAUAAAGUCUUACUUUAUAGCGAAUGCAAUUUUUAAUCGCCCAUAACUACUUAUGAAGCCAAUAAGGCUUAAAACAGAUCAUUUAUGGUCGAUCGUAUUUCGUAUUCGGAUCGAUUAACAACCCCGUCAAGUAUGCAAUAAAAUUCGCAUCGAACAGUUGAGGGUUUCAAAAGUCGUUAAAUUCCAAUUUGUCGUUGCGUCUAUUUUCGGUUUGUUGUGCAAACUUAACACACGAAUGCCAAUUGAAUGGACAAGCAAACGAGGCAUAAGUCACUUAGUAAGUACUAACUAAGUGUUACUUAGUUAGUCUAUAUACAGCAAUUAGCAUGCAAAAUAGGCGGCAGCUAAAUCGCUUUUCAAAAUGCCAAUCAAAUUGUUUGUGUACGAAAGAAAGAAAGAAAGAAAGCUUUGCAUUUUAUGGCAAUGCCUGGAACAAUUUGAUUAAACAAAAAAUAUCAAAUGAAAUGAAAUGAAUAAACAAACAAACUGUGGUCCAAAUUGACUGAUACUUGCCGAAAAACAUAUGUAGAGAUAUCUAAGUAUAUGAGAGACACAAUAAUUUACGAUUGUUUGCAAGUAACGAGCCAAAAUUAACUAGAGUUGAAUUUCGAAAUUUAUCUUUUCACAGGGUGGUUGGCAACAACGAUUUGAUUUUGGAAUUUUGACACAACAUGUGAAUUUCCAACAAACUUUGAUCAUCACGACACAAUUUCAAAAUAUUCGUAUCAUUUUAUUUUCUUUUAUUUACAAUAAAAAUUCCCCAGAAAACAAAAACAACAACAGCAGAAAAAAAAUCCCGUUUUGCAAACAAUCGUUGAGCGAAGCGUCUGCCAGGUUUCCAUGCGCGUUCAGCACUAAACGAAAAUGCCAACAAAAGAGAAUAAUACAGAAGAACGAGAGAGCAAGAGAGAGAGAGAAAGAACAAGAGAGUGAGAGAAUAACUGGGGCAGAAUAAACGAUCUGCAGUGAGCUUGCGCUUGAGGCUGCGCAACGGAUUUCGUAGACAAAACUAACAAAGUGAAUUUGAAAGCAAAGCAGAAGGAUCGACGACAAAAUACCCUAGGGUAUCAACAACUGGCACUAAUGGAUCCCAUUAAAACUGAAAAUCACGCUCAAAUAACAUUUGUUUGUGGAAUUGAGUGAAAUUUCGCGCAACACGUGCACAAAGUACACAUAGCAUAUGUGUGUGUGUGUACCUCAAGCAAAUGCAAAUGCACUAGAAGUAAUAUUUUAAAUAAACGAUAGAAGUACUUUAGUUCAGUGUUUAUGCGGGCUGUUGACAAACUUACAGCCGAGCAACACAGCAAAUUAAAAUAAACAUAAACAACAAAAGCUGCCGUAAAAUUCUAAUGAUCGGCAACAGCAGUUGAACAUCAAGUGGCUGCGGCACAGCUCAUAAAAAAAAGAGUAAAAUAAAAAUAAAAUAGAAAUGGCGAACCACACGUAGUUGAAGAUAAACUUGGCUAUAUUUAAUUAGUCAUUUAAUGUGUCCAAGUAGCAAGUACUAUGUUUGUAGUUAUCGUGAAAUCAAACUGCAUAAACAAAGCUGCGUGAGUCAAACAGGCGACUGUUGCUUAGGUUCUAUGUCGAAUUAGAUAAAAGACAUAAAAAUAACUGGCCAAACUGUAUAAAUCAUAGCGACGUGCUCACCCCACGAGAGAUCGCAAACAGUACACAAAAAAUAAAAAAAAAAACUAAAUAAAUAAAUAAAUGUGUAUAAAGAAUAAAAGACAAUGAGGUCAAGUGCAAACAUAACUAAACGAGCUACGCUGCCCAGUUGCAGUGCCACAAAAUGAAACGAAAAGCGGGUUAAUCAUACACAACAAAAGAAUGACAAAAUGUAAGAUAAGAAAACUGUUGUGAGUUAAUUAUUUGUUUAACUGAGUGAGGUAUGUAUGCCACAAACAUAAGCUGUUUAUGCAUCUCCGUUGCCCAAAAUGACCUUGACAAAGAUCAGCAUAUGAAGCGGGAGCAACCACAAAACCAAGCCAAAAACAGAAAAAAUAAAAA